GUGUUUGAUAGAGCAGCUCAUAGAUUAAAAUUGGAACCAUACAGAGAAGAUUAGCACAGCCCUGCACAAGAAUUACAUAUUCAAGAAGCUUUCUGUACUUUU
Sorex araneus (European shrew) is the source of this 102-nucleotide small nuclear RNA. Lineage: Eukaryota; Metazoa; Chordata; Mammalia; Eulipotyphla; Soricidae. The record is from RefSeq and is a predicted model, not a curated record.